AACCAUUCUCACCUGCGGCUAGACCUGCGGAGGGAUCAUUAUCGAGUGUUUAAACCCUUCUUUUUAAAGGGGGGUUACCUCCCGUCCUUUGCUGAGGGCUCCCCUACUGUUUAGGGGGGCUUUUUCAGAAAACCUACUGCUUCGGCGUGGUUUAUACCCGCCGGAACACCCUCAAAAAUUCUGAUCUCAAAACUGUUUCAGUCCGAGAAAAAAUUAAAGCGAAAAAACUUUCAGCAACGG
Molecule: unclassified non-coding RNA, 240 nt
Filed under: soil metagenome
Description: partial contains 5.8S ribosomal RNA, internal transcribed spacer 2, and large subunit ribosomal RNA
Source: RNAcentral